RNAcentral lists this unclassified non-coding RNA (2021 nucleotides) under Gallus gallus (chicken). RNAcentral describes it as "male hypermethylated (MHM) region microRNA". The record is from RNAcentral. Lineage: Eukaryota; Metazoa; Chordata; Aves; Galliformes; Phasianidae.
GAGCCAUGCUGAUAGAUUGCUGGCUCUGCAUUUUUGUGGCUGCUGAAGGCGCGGCGGCAGCAGUGAACCCUGCGUUUUCAGUAGUGGCUUUGAGCCACAGAAGGCAAGGUUAGCCACUCAUGUGUCCCUGCUGAAACACCUGGGGACUUGUCACCCACUCGGAACCAUGAAAAAAGAUGUAAGCACGCACCGCACCACAUAAGCACAGUCACGACGUACAGGUCACUCUUUCUCUCUGCUUCCCUGCCGAGAGCGGAAACCACACUCCUGGGGGUCUCCAAAGGAGCAAAGAACUACUCGCCAAAACUCUCCGCCUGCCCCUUUCCUGCUCCCAGAAUUUACCCUUUCAAGCGCUUUGACUAAGGCUGGUGCGCAACACAGCGCUCCUUACCCACUGACCGGCCAAACGCUGACAUCUCUGGCAUGCAGAGCUGACGCUGCUGUGGCUGCAGCUGCUCCACAGACCCGCACCUCUGGCCUGCCACUCUGCCCGCUCACCAGCUGGCAAGGCUGCACAGAAUGCGGAAUGUGUGCCGGGAUGGGAAAAGUGCUGCGGGUGAAGGACCGGACCUGCUGCCGAUUGGUUAUUGCCCGGAAGUAGGUGGGGCCAUAACCGGAACUCCCUCCCACCUACCUACAUAGGGAGGCGCCAUUUUGUUGGAGCCUGCGUUCCACUCUGAGGAGCCGCCAUUUCAUGCCACUCCGUACGCCACGUGGUUUUCUACUGCUUAGGGCUUGGCUCCCUGGCUUUUUCUUUAGCUCCUUCAUAUUCCCAGGCCUCCCUCUGACUGCGUGCCCAAUUCCCUUGCUCCGGGAAGUGCUCACAUGACAAAACAGAUCCAUUCCUGCGCAGUCGCACCGGGCAAAGGCGUCCCGGUGCUGGCGCUGGGGGCUGCCUCGUGUCUGACACGGGGGUUUCUGGAGACCAGCAGUACUACGGGCGCUUUGGUCCCAGCUAACAGCUCCGCCGGCUCCACUUCUCGGUUGGCAACAGCAACUCACUCGCGCCUCCCGCAUAAGGAUCUGAUGGGAAAUGCCUCGCCCUUUAAGUGCGCCGCCUCUUGCUUGUGGAAAGGCACAGACAACCCAAGGGCAGUCCCCGCCAGAGGGCUCCACUCAUCUCCAUCGUAGCGUUUGAUACAGCCGUGGAAAAAGCACUCAUCACAUUCAGGAGCUCUCGGCAUGCCAUCAGUGAUGGCAGAGCACUGCAAGAACAAGGGUCUCUUUGAUAUUCAACACCUUGUCAUGCGGAAGCACGUCUCUUGGGCCCAAAUACUCAGCUCGGCACUGCUCUACUUGAGGAAACGACUGACAAAGGGCAUAAAGCAGGCUCUUCUGCUGCACCCCUCUGUCACUCCUCCCAUCACAAGUGGUCUCAUCACAAAGAGAACCAGCUGUGCAGCAGACUUCAGGGCCUGCAAAGGGCCCCCUACAAAACGCUCCCGCGGCUGUGUUCCCCGCUCCCUGAACAGGCCAGCAGCGUGACUUACACUUUGACACGGCCUGUGCAAUUCCUUCUUUUGGGAAAGCACGCCACCCUUCUUCUAGCACACGCAAAGAAAACUCUGCUCUCUCAUUCCGGCUUCCACGCCGUGGUUUCUGGCAACUCCAGAAUUACCCAGCAUCAGCACUGGCCAAACAAAAACAACCGGAGCUCACCAUUCCUAAAGGGACUCGUCUCACUCACAACAAGCAUCUGUUCCAAGCAGUGGUGGUUGUCCCGGCACAUGACUUUGGUACGGCUAGAAGAAGACCAUACUCCGUACCGUUUCACGUCAUGCACAGCAAGGAAAGAGGGCCUAAGGAAGAAGGAGCUGUUCACCUCGGGAGUGAUGGCUUUGUCUUCCCAGCAAGCUGUUACGCGUGCUAAACCCUGCUCCCCAGAAAGCAGACGAGCGUCUAUCUGCCUGCCCAGGGGGAGCAGCAAAAGAAUUCCUGGCUUUGCUUUGCUUACGCCUGCAGCUUUUGCUUUACCUCUCGGAACACCUUUAUCUCACCCUCUGGAUUCUCACACCGUUGCC